UCCUACGGGGGGCAGCAGUGGGGAAUAUUGCACAAUGGGCGAAAGCCUGAUGCAGCAACGCCGCGUGAAGGAAGACGGUUUUCGGAUUGUAAACUUCUAUCAAUAGGGAAGAAAGAAAUGACGGUACCUAAAUAAGAAGCCCCGGCUAACUACGUGCCAGCAGCCGCGGUAAUACGUAGGUGGCAAGCGUUGUCCGGAUUUACUGGGUGUAAAGGGAGCGUAGACGGCUGUGCAAGUCUGAAGUGAAAUGCCGGGGCUCAACCCCGGAACUGCUUUGGAAACUGUACAGCUAGAGUGCAGGAGGG
Molecule: ribosomal RNA, 305 nt
Filed under: uncultured bacterium
Lineage: Bacteria
Description: bacterial SSU rRNA
Rfam family: Bacterial small subunit ribosomal RNA
Source: RNAcentral